UACAGAGGUCUCAAGCGUUGUUCGGAUUCAUUGGGCGUAAAGGGUGCGUAGGCGGCGCGGUAAGUCGGGUGUGAAAUCUCGGAGCUUAACUCCGAAACUGCACUUGAUACUGCCUUGCUCGAGUACUGGAGAGGAGACUGGAAUUUACGGUGUAGCAGUGAAAUGCGUAGAUAUCGUAAGGAAGACCAGUGGCGAAGGCGAGUCUCUGGACAGUUACUGACACUGAGGCACGAAGGCCAGGGGAGCAAACGGG
This 253-nucleotide ribosomal RNA is filed under the name uncultured bacterium. RNAcentral's name for it is "partial 16S ribosomal RNA". It matches the Rfam family "Bacterial small subunit ribosomal RNA", at positions 524 to 776 of the family's 1533-position model. The record is from RNAcentral.